UGAAAUCUCGGGGCUCAACCCCGAAACUGCGUCUGAAACUACAGGUCUAGAAUCUUGGAGGGGGAAGGGGAAUAUCGCAUGUAGGGGUAAAAUCCGUAGAUAUGCGAUGGAACACCAGAGGCGAAGGCGCCUUCCUGGACAAGUAUUGACGCUGAGGCGCGAAAGCGUGGGGAUCAAACAGGAUUAGAUACCCUGGUAGUCCACGCUGUAAACGAUGAAUACUAGGUAUUGGAGGAUUUGACCCCUUCAGUGCCGUAGCUAACGCGUUAAG
RNAcentral lists this ribosomal RNA (271 nucleotides) under uncultured Bacteriovorax sp. RNAcentral's name for it is "partial 16S ribosomal RNA". It matches the Rfam family "Bacterial small subunit ribosomal RNA", at positions 595 to 864 of the family's 1533-position model. Lineage: Bacteria; Pseudomonadati; Bdellovibrionota; Bacteriovoracia; Bacteriovoracales; Bacteriovoracaceae. The record is from RNAcentral.